UACGGAGGGAGCUAGCGUUGUUCGGAAUUACUGGGCGUAAAGCGCGCGCAGGCGGCGGUGCUGGCCCGGCGUGAAAGCCCCCGGCUCAACCGGGGAGGGUCGUCGGGGACCGCACCGCUUGAGGGCGGUAGGGGCUGGUGGAAUGCCUGGUGUAGUGGUGAAAUGCGUAGAGAUCAGGCGGAACACCCGUGGCGAAGGCGGCCAGCUGGGCCGUCCCUGACGCUGAGGCGCGAAGGCGUGGGGAGCGAACGGG
Molecule: ribosomal RNA, 253 nt
Filed under: uncultured bacterium
Lineage: Bacteria
Description: partial 16S ribosomal RNA
Rfam family: Bacterial small subunit ribosomal RNA
Source: RNAcentral